GAGGACGUAGCUCAGCUGGUAGAGCAGCGGACUUUUAAUCCGUAGGUCCGGGGUUCGAUCCCCCGCGUCCUCA
RNAcentral lists this transfer RNA (73 nucleotides) under Planctomyces sp. Its description in RNAcentral is "tRNA-Lys". It matches the Rfam family "tRNA". From Rfam's summary of the family: Transfer RNA (tRNA) molecules are approximately 80 nucleotides in length. Their secondary structure includes four short double-helical elements and three loops (D, anti-codon, and T loops). Further hydrogen bonds mediate the characteristic L-shaped molecular structure. tRNAs have two regions of fundamental functional importance: the anti-codon, which is responsible for specific mRNA codon recognition, and the 3' end, to which the tRNAs corresponding amino acid is attached (by aminoacyl-tRNA synthetases). tRNAs cope with the degeneracy of the genetic code in two manners: having more than one tRNA (with a specific anti-codon) for a particular amino acid; and 'wobble' base-pairing, i.e. permitting non-standard base-pairing at the 3rd anti-codon position. The record is from RNAcentral. RNAcentral also lists the same sequence under 1 other name. Lineage: Bacteria; Pseudomonadati; Planctomycetota; Planctomycetia; Planctomycetales; Planctomycetaceae.